Molecule: transfer RNA, 74 nt
Filed under: Planctomycetia bacterium
Lineage: Bacteria; Pseudomonadati; Planctomycetota; Planctomycetia
Description: tRNA-Ile
Rfam family: tRNA
About the family: Transfer RNA (tRNA) molecules are approximately 80 nucleotides in length. Their secondary structure includes four short double-helical elements and three loops (D, anti-codon, and T loops).
Source: RNAcentral
GGGGGAGUAACUCAGUCGGUCAGAGUAGGCGACUCAUAAUCGCUUAGUCGGGGGUUCGAGUCCCUCCUCCCCUA